This 82-nucleotide transfer RNA is filed under the name Buchnera aphidicola. RNAcentral describes it as "tRNA-Leu(tag)". It matches the Rfam family "tRNA". Rfam says of the family: Transfer RNA (tRNA) molecules are approximately 80 nucleotides in length. Their secondary structure includes four short double-helical elements and three loops (D, anti-codon, and T loops). Lineage: Bacteria; Pseudomonadati; Pseudomonadota; Gammaproteobacteria; Enterobacterales; Erwiniaceae. RNAcentral also lists the same sequence under 3 other names. The record is from RNAcentral.
GCGGGAGUGGCGAAAUAGGUAGACGCACCAGAUUUAGGUUCUGGCGCCGAAAGGUGUGCGAGUUCAAAUCUCGCCUCCCGUA